CAAUGUAUGCCUCAGUACGGCGAGUGAGCGGCAAAAGCUCAAAUUUGAAAUCUAGCACCUUCGGUGUUCGAGUUGUAAUUUGAAGAUGGUAACCUUGGGUUUGGCUCUUGUCUAUGUUCCUUGGAACAGGACGUCAUAGAGGGUGAGAAUCCCGUCUGAUGAGAUGCCCAUUCCUAUGUAAGGUGCUAUCGAAGAGUCGAGUUGUUUGGGAAUGCAGCUCUAAGUGGGUGGUAAAUUCCAUCUAAAGCUAAAUAUUGGCGAGAGACCGAUAGCGAACAAGUACAGUGAUGGAAAGAUGAAAAGAACUUUGAAAAGAGAGUGAAAAAGUACGUGAAAUUGUUGAAAGGGAAGGGCAUUAGAUCAGACUUGGUGUUUUACGAUUAUCUUCUCUUCUUGAGUUGUGCACUCGUAUUUCACUGGGCCAGCAUCGAUUCGGAUGGCAAGAUAAUGGCAGUUGAAUGUGGCUUCACUUCGGUGGAGUGUUAUAGCUUCUGCUGAUAUUGCCUGUCUGGAUCGAGGGCUGCGUCUUUUGACUAGGAUGCUGGCGUAAUGAUCUAAUGCCGCCCGUCUUGA
Molecule: ribosomal RNA, 573 nt
Filed under: Hansenula anomala
Lineage: Eukaryota; Fungi; Ascomycota; Saccharomycetes; Phaffomycetales; Wickerhamomycetaceae
Description: eukaryotic LSU rRNA
Rfam family: Eukaryotic large subunit ribosomal RNA
Source: RNAcentral